AAUUGGUCUCCACUCAAAUUAUUAGGAAAUAAAGUUCAAAUUUGCAAAGGAUUUUUUUUCCUACCAUAUUUCUUAGGAGAAAGAUACAAAUUUGUCCGUGUUAAUAGUUGAGGUAAGAUCUAUUUUUGCUAUUAUAAACAAAAAAAAAUGGCUUCGAUUUUCCUUUAUUGCAAAAUAUAGCAUAUUCAAUUGAGACUCAGUGAUAAAAAGCGUCAAAUAAUUUGGAUAGUUAUUGCACUGGCGAAUUAAGGAGCCUCUCCGUGCCCCUAUAAGAUCUCGUAGAAGAACUUGUAUUGCAUGAAUUUUUUUUUCGAAAAUAGAAAGAGAAACUAAGGUGCAAUGCAAAUUUUGUGAAAUUGUAUACGAGCAUAAAAUCGGAGGCAAUAAAGGGGAUACGGGUUCGUUGAUGAGACAUUUAAGAAAAAAAUAUGCGGUAGAGCUAAGUCUUGCACAAGGUGGUGAGACUGUUGGUGGGCCAACACAAAGUAGAUUGAACCCAACAACCGGUGAAUUAGUUAAAAAUUAUAAUAAAACGAAGGAUCGGAAAGAAAUAGCAAAAAUGAUAGCUAUGGGUUGUUUGCCUUUCACCUUUGCUUCUCCAAAUGCUUUUAUUCAUUAUAUUCAAACAAUUUAUAAUCCUAUGUUUACAGGUAUUCCUAGAAGUACUUAUCGGAACGAUAUUUUUAGACUACAUGCACUAUAUAUUUAUUAUUUAUCUGCAUUAUUAAAAAAUAUUCCAGAUAGAGUUAUUCUAACUUCUUAUCUUGAUCGUGCUAUUAAUAAAAAUUAUUAUUUAACAAUUACUUGUCACUGGAUAAAUAGUAAUUUUGUUAUGCAAAAACGUAUUCUAGCAUUUUUGUAUGAUGAAGAUCGUAGACACACUGGAAAGUUUAUUUAUGAAUCUAUUCCUAAAGUUGCAAAAUAUUAUGGUAUUGAAAGAAAAGUUUUAUGUAUAGUUUUUGAUAAUGCAUCUAACAACAAGAUUGCUAUUGACUUGUUAAAAGUUGAACUUUCUCCACCGAUGCCCGAAAUAUUUCAUGUUAAGUGUGCUUGUUAUAUAUAUAAUUUAAUCAUAAGAGAUAGUUUUGAAUUUCUGAGCUUUAUAUUGAAAAGGUCUGGCUUGUUGUGGCUUUAUUCAAGAAAAUAAUCGAAAAAUUAGAGUGAAAGAAUUUAAAGCUAAAUAUGAACAAAAUGGACUUAGAUCGAUAUUUAUGCUUGAAAAUGUGAUACUAGAUGGAAUGCUACUUAUAAUUAUAGGAAAAAACAUUAUUUCCACCCUAAACUAUAUCCGAAAAAUUAAAGGCACACUUCAACUAUUAAAGCAACCUAAUACACACUUGAAUUACUUAAAAGUGAAUUUGUUUGCACCCUAAAACUGACGUGGCAAAAAAUAAUUAAUUAAAAUAAAAGAUGGAGCGUGGGUAAUAUAAUUAAAGCAAAAAUAAGUUACAAAAAUUAAGAUAUUCUUCCCUACCAAGCAUCAUUUUUAAUUGUGAUUGAAACUUCUAUUUUUUUGAAGUACUUUCUUCAUCAAUUUGAUGUUUCUUCUUACUCCAUUGUUGAUUUUUUAUUCUAUUUCAUCACUUAACUCACUACUAUCAAUUUCAAUAAUUCCUAUAGCCGUCAAUUCAUCACCUGCAAUCACUAAUUUCAUCAGUGCCACCAUCAAUUUCAUCAUCGACCCACCACCAUCAAUUUCCUCAUCUAACUCACCAUUAUUGAUGUAAAUACCUCAAUUAUUUUUUAUUGAUAGAAUAGUAAUGUGAGGAAUCAUUUCAUUAUCAAUUUUAUUGAGAACUAUAAAGAAUGACCGAUUUUAAUUCAUCAAAAAUUUUCAAUCCGAUGAAUUUUAUUUUUCAAUACUUUCAUCGAUUUUUUGUUGGCUAGAUUUCAACUUUCAAGUUUUUCUCGUUUCAUGUCUCUUCCAUCACUCUAAAAAGAAAAUUGUCCAUCUCGUCAAAACAUCGAUUAAGAAGGAGAAAAGAGGGGUUAAAGAUGGGUGACAAAGUUAGAAGAAAUUGAAGGUGAUGGCAAUUUUGUUGGUGGUUUAUAAAGUUAAUAGUGGUAAUUAAUUGACGAUUUGAGUUUGGCUAUGAUGAUGAUAUCCGUAUCAAUGGAGGUUUUGAGAUUGGAUAUAGAAGAAAAUGAAGAAGGAAAAAGUUUAAAUUAAAGAGAAAAAGGAAAAAGUAGGAAAAAUAAUAAAUUUAUUAUUUUUUCCGUAUUGUGAUGACGUGGUGCUGACGUGGCAGGCGCGUGUGAAACACCGCACCACAUGCAAGUGGUAUAAUGUUUUACAGGGUGUAAAAAGUUUCACUUUUAUAUAGUUUAGGUGUGUAAUAGGUCACUAUGAUAGUUUAGGUGUGACCUAGACUUUUCGAGUAUAGUUUAAGGUGGAAACAAUGACUUUUCCCUAUAAUUAUUUAAAAACCUGUCUUACUUAUAAAGUUUCUAUUAGAAUGACUUUUAAUCAAUAUUCUGGUUCUUUUCCUGAGUGUAUGCUACAUGAUUCUGAUUGGGCUGCAAUUGUUGUUCUUGUUAAAUUUUUUAAAAAAAAUUAUAUAGCUACGAUUGAAUUUUCUGGUGCUUGUUAUCCUACUGUUUGUAAUAUUUUUGCUUAUUUAGCCAACAUUUCUUGUUUACUUAACGAAUAUAAGAAUAAAGAAGGUUACAAAGAAACUAUUAUUGUUAUGAUUGCUAAAUUUUAAAAAUAUUUUUGUCCACUUCCCCCAAUUUACUUGAUUGAUGCUAUAAUAAAUUCAUGUAUGAAAUGUAAUACUAUGGCUAUGGUAGUAUAUAUUUAAUGUACACAUGUGUAUAUGUUUUCUAAAGUAGGCAAGUAGUAUAUAUGUAAUGUAUAUAUAUAUAUUGUAUGUAUGUUGGUUCAAGUAUUUUUAGUAGUAUAUAUAUUAUAUUGUACGUAUACAUUUGUAUAUAUUUUCUAUAGAUUAAAGUAGUAAAUAUUUAAUGUAUACAUGUGUAUAUGUUUUCUAAAUUAGUAGUAUAUAUGUAAUGUAUAUAUGUUGUAUGUAUAUUGUUUCAUGUAGUUUGUUAAGUAGUAUGUAAAUUAUAUUGCAUGUAUAUAUGAGUUUAUAUAUUUAUUGUAUACAUGUGUAUAUGUUUUCUAAAAUAGUAUAAUAUGUAAUGUAUAUAUGUUUUACGUUUAUUGUUUAACAUAUUUAAAAUGUAUAUAGGUGUGUAUAAUAGUUUAUAUUGGAAAAAACAUGUAAAUUCAAUUUAAUUUUAUUUUUUUUUACAUAAAGGACCGGUAACCAAUCUAUUUCUCGAAGUGGGCCGAACUGAACCGAUCCAGACCAAUUUUAACUGGUUCUAGACUAAAUGGGCCAAUCACAGGCUGUUUUUGAACUUUUUACUGUUGGCCCCUGAUCGAAUCGGCUCAUUUAAAACUAGGCCCGGACCGGCCCAUAUAUCAAUUACACUUAAUGAGUCGAUGCCGACUUGAACCGGAUCGGCCCGAUUGACAGGUAUACUUGAAAGAAGGGUUACUUGCACCUUUCCCUAUUUUGUGCUGAUUUUAACUUUUACCUCUCAUAAUUAAUUCUCUAGUGCAACAUAAAUUUAUAUUUUUCACAUUAUUAUAUUCUAUAAGUUAUGUUCCGCGCCAUUAAUGAACUUCUCUGCUAAGUAUUAGUUUGAUUUCUAGGAUAAAAUUUUUAAAAAAUAGCUUCAUUAAAAGGUAAAAAUUAAAGACUAAUCCAUUUGAACGGCAAAUCUCAUGAUUAAACUGGAAAUAAAGGUAAUUUCCAUUGUCAUAAAGGCCCUAAUAUGUGACGUUAAGAUCAAAAGUUUCAUUUUUCUCUCCACCACAAUAUCAGAACUUGUGUUUUGGCAUUUUACUCUAGCAUAUUAUUCACUUAAAAUCUACCAAGAUAGCAAAACUAUUUAAUGCCUAUAUGCAGGUCCCACGAAAAGAUAUAUUUCUAACUUUUUCAGCAUUUGAUUUAUUAAUUAAUUACUCAUGUUAUCAGGAAAAAAAAAAAGGAAAAUGAGAAGUGCAAUGAUCAAAUCUUCUGAUUUUCAGUCUCAAUUUGUAAUCAUAAAUGGGACCGCAUGAGCGGAGUUAGGGUACCUAAAUAAAGUUUAUUCAAAUUUUCUUCAUAAAAAACAUGCACUUGUUAUUUAUAUUAAAGUAGGUACAAAAAGAAUAGAGAGAAGAGAGGAGACUUCUUUAUUUCUUAUGGAUUCUUGAGGAGUUAAUUACAACAAAAAAAACCUCCUUUAUUUAUAGGGGAAAACUAAUCUUGGGUUUCUAAUUGUUAAAUAGAUAUUCACUAUGUAUAAUAAAGUAAACAUUCACUAUAUAUGGUAAUAUAUUUAUAACACUUCCCCUUGAAUGUCUAAUUGAUAGAUAAUAUGUCUCGUUAAAACCUUACUGAAAAAAAUUUAGUGGAAAAAAUCUAAUAAAGGAAAAAGAGUACACAUCUCUACCAAUACGCAUAUAGGCUGCCUCAUUAAAAACCCUAUAAGGAAAACUUAGUGGGACAAAACCUCGUAAGGAAAAUAGAGUACAACGCGUAUUAAUUCCCCCUAAUGAGAACAUCCUUGAGCCUUUGCAUUCCGAUCUUGUGCACCAUCUUCUUGAAAGUUGCAAUUGAAGGAGACUUGGUGAAUAAAUGAGCCACAUUGUCACUUGAACGAAUCUGUUGCACGUUAAUAUCACCAUUCUUUUGGAGCUCAUGCAUGUAGAAAAGCUUUGAUGAAUAGUGCUUCAUUCAAUCUUCUUUUAUGAAUCUCCCCUUAAGUUGUGUUAUGCAUGCUUCAUUAUCUCCGUAUAAAAUUAUGGGUACAUUGUCAUAUUUCACACCACUUUUUUCUCGAAGGAUAUGUAUCAUGGAUCUCAACCAUACACAUUCUCGACUUGCAUCAUGAAUAACGAUUAUCUCAAUAUGGUUCAAUGAAGUUGCUAGAUAGACUGUUUUGUAUAUGUCCAAGAUAUGACAGUACUCUCACAUAUGAACACAUAACUUAUUUGAGAUCGAGCUUUAUGCGGGUCAGAUAAGUACCUAGCAUCGGUAUAACCAACAAGAUCGGGACUACAAUCUUUAGAAUAAAUAAGUUCAUAUAUUUAUUCUCAUUUUGAUGUCUCCUAGUAGGAGCAGAACUAUACCUUGCUAACAAAUUGAUCGAAAAGACUAUAUCAGGUCUUGUGGUAUUUGCAAGAUAAAUGAGUGCACCAAUUGCACUAAGAUAUGGUACGUCAUAACCAAACUAAAUUGGUAUAUUUUUUAUUUUACCAAAUAAUCUAUUGUUUUUGAAAACUCUCCAAGAGUUUCAAUAAUAUUCAAACCAUCAAGUUUAAAUAGAUUUUCUCAUUCUUUAGGGAUUUUCCAUCAAACCAUCAAUUUUUCAGAAACUUUAUAUGCUUCAGUCAUUUUAAAUCCUUUAGGGAUUUUCAUAUAGAUUUUUGUCAAGUGACAAUAUCAAUAUGUGUGACAUCUUCAAGUGUCUGAACUGCAAAUCAAAUAAGUGUUAUGCUUACCAAGAUGCAUCCUUUCAUGUCACUCGAUAAAUAUUUCUACGUCAGCAUGCUUAAAUAAAUGUAGAAUUCGGAUCCUCGUAAUCUUUUACAAUAUUGUGUCAAUAUUGUAUCAAAGAUAUUAAUGAUAUUUCAUUUCGUAUCUGUUCACAGUGUGACAUAACAUUUUUAGAUCUCAUCGCUUCAUUAUUUUCAGGUACCUAAACCUCUCAUAAGGUUUCAUGAAGUGUUAUGUCAUAGGCUCUUCAAGAGCACAUUGCCUUCUUAUUAUGAUUAUUUGCUCCUUAUAAUUUUGAAGGAUUAUUUCAUUUGAAAUCGAUUGAUCUACCACGCUUCACGCAUGCAUAGAAUUUGCCCUUUAUGAACACAAAAUAAGAGCACUUGCAGCUUAAAUAUGAGAUGCGUUCGGAAUUCAACUUGAAUUAUCUUUUGAAUGCGGAUCUGAUGAUAAUUCCUAUCAUAUUUCAUAGUUGCUUAUAAUCUCCCCCUUAUGUUAGGAAAACUAACAUACAUCCUCCAUCUUCUUUGAGAAAUCCAUAUUUGUGCAUUAUGGUAUAUUCAUUAAUCGUAUACCGCACAUUAAAACUAUUAGAUGGGCAAUGUGUGGUUCCUAACUCAGAACCAACUUUGAGGGGGAAUUAAUCAUAAUUUAUUGGUUUGAUGUAUAUAAGUACUUUUGUAUAUAAUAUAUCAUAUUUCAAACCAAAACAUGAAGCUUUGUUCUUAUUGGCAAUGAUUUAGUUAUUUAUCGAAGGCAUUCAAUGUCAAACAACAUUAUCAAGAUGAAUUAUCUUGAUUACACAAUCUGGAAGUUAUGCUCUUAACUCAAUUUUAUUGAACAAGCAACUUUACGAAUGUCAAACUACAAAUUGACAAUAAACGUACAAGUGAUCAUCUUAUAUCGAUGCAUCUUAACAGAUCACAUGAUAGGUGUAUGGCCCCUUAAUUAUUCACCUUUUAUAUAGUUCUUAGAUUUUAAGAGAUUCAAUCCCAAUAUUAGUUGGUCCAACCAACUUAUCAUGAGAACAAACAACAUAAAUAAUUUUUGAAGAAUCUUCUAGUUCUUCAAUCCAUGUCUAAUACUCAACAUGCACAUCUUCGAGAUGUCACAAUCGUUCAUGUCAACUUAUGAACUUAUUUAUAGUAGUAAACCCCAAGUUUACCAUGACAUGUAUUUUUUUUUCUUUAGUAAAUUUCAGAUUUACUAUUACAUGAAUAAAUUUUUGAUUUACUAGUUUAGAAGUAGAUUUCAAAAUAACUAUUCUCAGUUAUUCUGCCUCUUUCGGAGGUGAGUUGUGAUAUCAUCACAAUCAAGUGCACGUUUGCAUUAAUAAGCUUCUCAUUCUCCAGGAAUAAAGUAUAAUCGUUCCUUAAGCCUAUCAAAUUCGGAUAGCUUAUAACCUCUUUCAUGAUAUAUUGCUACUUCAGGAGCACAUUGAGACAUACAUAUCUUUCAAAGUAUAUCAUAUAUUGCUACCACAUUCACUUCAAGAAUGGAGCAAAUUGUCAUCUUUCAGACUUGUCAUAUAAUGCUGGAAUAUUCAAUUAAUAGAAUGGAGCAUAUUUAAUGGACAAGUUUCAUGACUUUUUAUCAAAUACAUAUUAUUUUUUCCUUAGCCAUCAUAAUAUCAUUAAUAUGGUACAUUGAGAUUCAAACUCAACGUCUUAUCCAUAUAAAGACGUCUUAGGCAUAACUCGGUGGGAAUUGAACCCAACAUCUUAUCAUCAUGGUGCAUUGAAAACUUUUAACCCAAUGUCUUACCCUCUUAAUGAGAUGAGAUUUAAAUCCAUCAUCAUAUAUUUUAACAAUAUUGUUCUUUAUGAAUAAAUUUAAAGUAUAAGUGGUUCCAAAUCAAUUAUUUUUUUCUCAAAUCCAACAAUAAUUAGAUCAUUAAUAAAAAAAGAAAAAUAGCAUAAGGAAUUACUAACCUUAACAUUACCUUUAGAUUUAUAAUCUCACCUUAUUUGGUAGAAUCUCGUGCUGAUAACAUGUUAUGAAAUAUAAAGUAAGUACAAAAAGAAUAGAGAGAGAAGAGAGGAGACUUCUUCAUUUCUCAUGGAUUCUUGUGGAGUUAAUUACAAUGAAGAAAAACCCCUUUAUUUAUAGGGAAAAACUAACCUUCGGAUUUCUAAUUUUUUCAUAAAUAGAUAUUUACUAUAUAUGGUAAAGUAGACACUCACUAUAUAUAGUACUAUAUUUAUAACAUCACUAUAUAUAUAAUAGAAAAGAGAAAUCUAUAUUUUCAAACUAUCAUAAAUGAUACGUGUAUAUUCUCUGUUAUAUUUUGGGUACAUAUAUGUCACUGGCUUUAAUAAUUUAAGUUAGAAUAACUACAUAAUUACCCCACUGAUGUUGAUCGAGAUUUUCAAAAAGAUACCUAAACUUUGAAUUCGAUCUAUUACCUCACAAUUCUUACUUAAUCCGUUGUAAACAGGACAUUUUGAUCCUCUGUGUGUAUACAUGGCCACAGGCGCGUGAAAGGGCUCGAAUUUGACUUUUUUGACCAAUCAAAAGUUGUCACGUGUAAAAUAAUUGAUAUAUAAUUUAUAUUCUUUUUUUUUUAAAUAAUAUUUAUUUAUUUUAUAAAAUUAUCCCUACCCCUCUCCGCCCUCCCCUCCCAACCCACCCACUCUUUCUUCUUCAACUCAAUUCACCAUUAAAGCUUCAAGUUUCCAUUGAAGCUUUUUUUGUUUUUUAAAUCAUUCAUUAAAGCUCCAUUUUACAAUUAAAUCAUAUCAUUUAACUACCCACCAUUUCUUCUUCAACUCAAUGUCUUUUUCAACACCAUUAAAGCUCUUCAACACAAUGUCACUAUUAAAGCUUCUCCAUUGAAGGUUUUUUUUUUUAAAUUAUAUCAUUAAAGCUCCAUUUUCAGUUUGUUAAAUUAAAUAAAAAGGAAAAUUUUAUUUAAAAAAAUAUGAAAUUAAACGUAGUUGACACGUGUCAGCACCUGAUUGGCGUCUGUCUUCACUCACUUUGUUGUGACUGAGAUUCAGCACAAAAUGGUGUGUUUGCAACGAAAUAUAAAAGAAUCGUGGGGUAAUAGGUUGAUGUUAAAGUUUAGGUGUCUUUUUAAAAAUCUUGAAUAAGAUCAGUGGUGUAAUUAUGUAUUUACUCCACUGAUGUAGGCCGAGAUUUUUAAAAAGACACCUAAACUUUGAAUUCUACCUAUUACCCCACAAUUCUUACUUAAUCUGUUGCAAACACACCAUUUUGACCCUCUGCGUGUAUGCACGCGCCACAGGCGCGUGAAAGGGCUCGAAUUUGACCUUUUUGACCAAUCAAAAAUUUUCACGUGUAAAAUAAUUGAUAUAUAAUUUAUAUUCUUUUUUUAAAUAAUAUUUAUUUAUUUUAUAAAAUUAUCUCUACUCCUCUCAGCCCCUCCCCCCCGAUUCACCCACUCUUUUUUCUUCAACUCAAUUCACUAUUAAAGCUUCCAUUGAAGUUUUUUUUUUUUUUAAAAAAAAAUCAUUCAUUAAAGCUCCAUUUUGCAAUUAAAUCAUAUCAUUUAACUACCCACCAUUUCUUCUUCAACANNNNNNNNNNNNNNNNNNNNNNNNNNNNNNNNNNNNNNNNNNNNNNNNNNNNNNNNNNNNNNNNNNNNNNNNNNNNNNNNNNNNNNNNNNNNNNNNNNNNNNNNNNNNNNNNNNNNNNNNNNNNNNNNNNNNNNNNNNNNNNNNNNNNNNNNNNNNNNNNNNNNNNNNNNNNNNNNNNNNNNNNNNNNNNNNNNNNNNNNNNNNNNNNNNNNNNNNNNNNNNNNNNNNNNNNNNNNNNNNNNNNNNNNNNNNNNNNNNNNNNNNNNNNNNNNNNNNNNNNNNNNNNNNNNNNNNNNNNNNNNNNNNNNNNNNNNNNNNNNNNNNNNNNNNNNNNNNNNNNNNNNNNNNNNNNNNNNNNNNNNNNNNNNNNNNNNNNNNNNNNNNNNNNNNNNNNNNNNNNNNNNNNNNNNNNNNNNNNNNNNNNNNNNNNNNNNNNNNNNNNNNNNNNNNNNNNNNNNNNNNNNNNNNNNNNNNNNNNNNNNNNNNNNNNNNNNNNNNNNNNNNNNNNNNNNNNNNNNNNNNNNNNNNNNNNNNNNNNNNNNNNNNNNNNNNNNNNNNNNNNNNNNNNNNNNNNNNNNNNNNNNNNNNNNNNNNNNNNNNNNNNNNNNNNNNNNNNNNNNNNNNNNNNNNNNNNNNNNNNNNNNNNNNNNNNNNNNNNNNNNNNNNNNNNNNNNNNNNNNNNNNNNNNNNNNNNNNNNNNNNNNNNNNNNNNNNNNNNNNNNNNNNNNNNGGGGAAAAGGGGGUGGGUGGGGUGUUAAAUUAAAUAAAAAUGAAAUUUUUAUUAAAAAAAUAUGAAAUUAAACGUAGUUGACACGUGGUAGCAACUGAUUGGCGCGUGUCUUCACUCACUUUGUUAUGACUGAGAUUCAGCGCAAAAUGGUGUGUUUGCAACGAAAUAAAGAAGAAUCGUGGGGUAAUAGGUCGAUGUUAAAGUUUAGGUGUCUUUUUAAAAAUCUCGAACAAGAUUAGUGGUGUAAUUAUGUAUUUACUCUAAAAAAAAUAUAAAAUUAAACGUAGUUGACACAUGGCAGCACCUGAUUGGCGCGUGUCUUCACUCACUUUGUUGUGACUGAGAUUCAGCGCAAAAUGGUGUGUUUGCAACGAAAUAAAGAAGAAUUGUGGGGUAAUAGGUCGAUGUUAAAGUUUAGGUGUCUUUUUAAAAAUCUCGAACAAGAUUAGUGGUAUAAUUAUGUAUUUACUCUAAAAAAAAUAUAAAAUUAAACGUAGUUGACACAUGGCAGCACCUGAUUGGCGCGUGUCUUCACUCACUUUGUUGUGACUGAGAUUCAGCGCAAAAUGAUGUGUUUGCAACAAAAUAAAGAAGAAUCAUGUGGUAAUAAGUCGAUGUUAAAGUUUAGGUGUCUUUUUAAAAAUCUCGAACAAGAUCAGUGGUGUAAUUAUGUAUUUACUCUUUAAGUUAUAUAUAUCCUUUACUCUAACGGAGGGACACACAAUCGUAUGCGUUUACCCAUUUUUUAAUUCAUUUUACUUCAAAUAAAUUAAUUCACCCAAAAUAAAUCCAAUACCCGAAUAGAGAUUAUGUAUAUUUCUUCUCCAUCUACUAUCUUGCAUUUAAGGAAAAAUCCUUUUGGCCAUAAAAUGUGGCCAUAAUGACUCAAAAUUGAUAAUAAAGUUUAUUGACAUUGUAAGCAGAUUUAUAUUUUUACAUUCUUACCCUUUUCUCCCAAAUUUAUAUUUUCUUUCUUAUUUAUUCUUCUAGCUAUUUCCAACACAUGAGGAUUGAACAUAUAACUUGUUUACUUAUUUGUUUGUUGACUUUGCAUUUCAAAAUAAUAUCUAUACAAACAAAGAAGAAAAACGUUAAGUUAUUUCAUUUAUUUGAGUAAUUUUUUAAUUUAAAAUAAUAUUAAACUUAAAAAUAAUUUUAAAAUUGUUGAAUAGUUUUAAAAUGAUAUAUAAAUGAUUGAAUGGUAAUUUAAAAAUAAUUAUAAAUAAUUUUAUUUGUCUUUGUUGGACAGUUAUUCUAUUUGGCCACAUUUUUAGAAUGAGAAUUUAGAAUAUAAAAUAAUUUAAAAAAUUUAGAAAAGUAUUUUUUUUUCAAGUUUAUUGACAUUUUAUUUUUAUAAUUUAUUAAAAGAAAAAUAAAAUUACUUAAAAUUAUUUAAUUAGACAAGAUAAAUUAUUAAAAUUAUGUAAUUAGACAAGAUAAAUUAUUAAAAUUUCUAAUGAUACAAAUUCAUUUCAAGAAUUUAUUUCUCUGAGUUUUUAGCUAUUUAAAAUCUUGUUGUGUAUUCUUUUCAAAAAAUUUAAUCUAAAGGAUCAAGAAUGUAGUAAAUUCAACAAUGUUAGGACUGCUGCUUCAAUUAAGUUAAAAGAGAUAUCAAUAGAACAUGCCAACUAAAAAAUUUCAUAUUUUUCUAUAGGUAAUUGUUUUUAUUCUUGUAAUAUAGAACUUAAUACAUUUACUUUGAUUCUAUAAUUUGCUAAUCAUUAUAUAUAUUUGCCAUUAAUAUAACCUCUAAUAAGUAAUUUUACCAAUUAUUGAGUUUAAUUUUUUUUUUUAAAACGUAUUUAGAUAAUUAUUUAAAUAUAAUUGGAAAAUAUUCUCAAUGACAAUUAAAACUCAAAAUAGUUUAGACAUGAUAGAUAUCGAUUCAACAGAAAAAUUAUAAAAUACAUAUAGUUCAUAUAUGUCGACUCUAGUUAACAUUAACUUAGGAGAGUCACACAUUGAUGUUACAGUCUUGAACCCAUAUGUUACAUCAAUUUAAAAAAUUAUGAAUCAUUACUUAUGAUUAUUAUUAUAUAUAACCUCUAUUUAAAUAAUUUUAUCAAAUAUUAUAUUUAAAUAAAUUGAAAAUAGUUUUUAAAAUUUAAUGUAUAAACAAUUCAAUAAAAAUAGACAAAAUUCAAAAUAUUUUAGACAUUAACAAACUAUAAAAAUCAUAAAAUUAUAUAUAGUUCAUUUGUGUCGAUCCUAGUUAACAACAACAAAAGAGAGUCCAACGUUAAUGCGGUAGAGUUGUAUUACUAUGUCACGUCGAUUUGAUCAAGUAAAUCAUUAUUUAAAUCAUAUUCCUAUGUCAUGUGGUAGAAUUAUAUUAAUUAAUAUAUUUAUACAAAUUUAAAUUGUAUAUUUAAAUAAUUUUUAAUCUAAUUUGAAAAUAUUUUAAUAACAACAACAAAAACUCAAAACACUUUAGACAUGAUAAAUAUUGACACAUUAUAGUAAACAAUAAAAACGUAUAAUCUAAGAGAGUCAUAUGAUGAUAAAAACAUAUAAUCUGUAAGUGUCAACCCUAGUCAACAUCAAUCUAAAAGAGUCAUAUGAUGUUGUAACAAGUUGUCUAUUCCGAUUUAAUAACUUGUGAAUCGUUACUUACAUUGUUAUUAAUAUGAACUUUAAUUAAGUAUUUUAUUAAUUAUUAUUAAUAGAUUUAGAUAAUUUUUUUUUAAAAAAUUGAUAAUAUUUCAAUCGUCAAUUCAAAAGACUUUAGAAAUAAUAGACAUCGACACAUUAAACAUAAUUGGUAUAAACGUUUAUAAUUUUCAAUCAAACGCAAUUGGAAACAUAUUGUGAAAAUCGAAACAUAUUUUCAAACCGAUUUAAACAUAAUUUUUUUACUAAUUCUAAUUCUCAAGUAAAAAUUUUUCUCUAAUUCUAAUUCUUUAUUAAAAUAUUUUUCCUCCACACUUAAAUAUUUUUUCCAGUGAAACGUAUUUUCAGUAUUUGAAAACAUACAGUGGUAAAUACGUUUAGAAUUUGUCAAUUUUCACACAUACUCAUUAUUUGUUAAUUUAAGUAUAAUUUUACAAUUUUAAAACAUAAUCAUUAUUGUUAGAUACGUUUUCAAAUACAUUUAUAUACGUUUUCAAAUACAUUUACUUAGAUUGACAUUCUUAAUUAAUUUUAGUUAGUAUAAUUUUACACCUUUUCAAGUUUUAAAAAAAUAAUUAGAUAAAGAUCUCAAUAUUUCAGCAUGAUCUCAAUCAAUGCUUAUUCUUUCAUAGCAAGAAUUUUAUUUGAGACAGUAAAAGACAAUCAGUACUUAAAUUUGAACAUAACAUCCUUGACUCUAGCUACGACUGUUCAGAAUCGAAUCGAAAUCAAUAAUCUAUAAUGACAUUUUGAUUUGUGAACUAGUGAUUCGGCUUAUCGGAUUACCAAGUGUAAAGUAUGUGUGAUUUGUUGUGAUCGCAAUAUUUUACAAAUUAUAUAUAUAUAUAUAUAUAUAUAUAUAUAUAUAUAUAUGCUAAAUCUAAAAAACAUCUAUAUAUAUAUUAAUUUUAUUUAAGCGUAAUAAUAAAAAAAUAAUUUAUUAGAGAGAAUUUAGUAACAAAUAUAAGUAAUAAUUCACAAUUUAUCAAAUCAUCGUAAUAUAAGGGUGAAAGAGUCAUAUGAUUAACAGUUAUAUCUCUCGACAAAUGUGAACUAUAUGCAUAAUUUCUGUAAGUGUCAACGUUUAUCAGGUUUAAGGUAUGUUGAGUUGUCAUCAUUUUGAUAUCUUAUAAAUUAUGCUUGAGAAUUAUUUAAAUAUAUAUUUUAAUUUUAUUUAACCAUAUACUUAAAAAAAAUAAAGAAUUAGAGAUCAUUUUAGUAACAAGGAGAGAAAGUCGGAAAACAACAUGAGAAAAAAAUAGACAGUAAAUGUAGUGUUUGAGUUAUAGCAAAAAGUAAGUACGUUUUUGAAGAAAUAUACAUAUUUUCAUGGUAUAAGACUAUUGAUAUUCUUGCCUAAGAAUUUGUGUUGCAAUUAAUUUACAAUAUAGGGAGUAUACAUAUUUUAAUGCUUAAUUACCUCGACUUUAAAAAAAUAGAAAAAGAUUCCAAAAGACUACUCCCUCCGUCCCAUUUUAUUCGUUCUAAAUUGGGAUGACACAGCUAUUAAGAAAACAAUGAUUGGUAAUGUAACUUUAUCAUUUUGCCCCUCUUAAUUGUGUCUUGUUGUUAGUUCCACUAUUGAUGGAUGACUAAUAUCAAAACACCAUUCAUAUUUUUAAUGGUGUAUUUUUUAUGGUACUCUUCUUUGCAACAUUUUUCAAGAAUGCUAAUAAUAAGAAGUAAUCAAUUACACUAAAAGUAUAAUGGGAAAAAAAAUUUGUCUUAUCAAGAUAAGUAAAAUAGGACAAGUAAUACUGCCUACCACUAUUAGGGACAACUCGUGAAAUUAUUAGGCCUCUGCUGCCUUCUUCGUAUACCAAAUCAAUAUAACAAUUAUCUAAUUAGUAUAUCUAAUUACUAUAAAAAUGUAACUUACACACACAAAGUAUUUUUAAUUAACAAUUAACAUAAGUAUCUAACAUAUUCUAUCAACUUACAUAAGUAUGUAACAGUUAUUUAUUGUUACUAUUAGCUUUUACUAUGAAUUAGUUUAAAAGUUGAGAUUUUGAGUUUGUUUUUUGUUAACAUUAAUUUUGACUAUGGUUCGUUCAUAAAUAUUGAUAUCCGUGCUUUCAUUUUCUUCUAAUCUUUUCUAGGACUCUAAAGGAACUCGUUCUUUCUUGCUCCUUAUCCAUUGCCCUUUUUAUACUUCCUCCGUCUCAAAUUACACGUAACAAAUUUUCUAAUUUGAUUUCUCAUUUUACUUGUCUUUUUUCAUUAAUCAAGAAGAGACAACAUUUUUAUUUUUAUUUUUUCAUAUUUUAACCUUUGAAUUAGUUACUUUUUCUUCAAAUUAAAAUGUAAACAUCAUUUAAUAGGGGUACAAUGAUAAACUAGACAUAUUAUUAAAUAUUUUUCUUAAUCAAUGUACCAUCUUAAUUUGAAGGGGUAAUUUGGGAUGGAGGGAAUAGUAUAUAUCUUAAUGUUUAUUUGCUACAGAUCAUAAAAUUUUAUAUAGAGUUACCUUUUUAAAAUGUUGUUGUGGUGAUUAUAAUCGAUUUAGUUAAAUACAUUUGUCUUAAGAUAAAAAACAAUAACAUUUAGAAUGGAGAUACCGAUUAACAAUAGGUACAGAAAUUGUUAUUAUUUAAACUAGUUCAAGAUUCUCAAUACUUGCACAAGUUGAAAGAAAAAAAAAGUAUAUCUAUUUUUCAUUCUCAUUUGCAAGUAAAAAUGUUUUUCAUCUUUACAGUGAACAUAAAUGUAUGCUUUGAGAGAUGUGGUGUUACCUAGUUGAACUAAAGUAAUGAGCCUGCCCA
RNAcentral lists this long non-coding RNA (15133 nucleotides) under Capsicum annuum. RNAcentral's name for it is "long non-coding RNA (CANN_LNC011843)". Lineage: Eukaryota; Viridiplantae; Streptophyta; Magnoliopsida; Solanales; Solanaceae. The record is from RNAcentral.